Molecule: transfer RNA, 88 nt
Filed under: Pterocladiophila hemisphaerica
Lineage: Eukaryota; Rhodophyta; Florideophyceae; Gracilariales; Pterocladiophilaceae
Description: tRNA-Ser
Rfam family: tRNA
About the family: Transfer RNA (tRNA) molecules are approximately 80 nucleotides in length.
Source: RNAcentral
GGAAAGAUGGUAGAGUUGGUUAAUUACACCUGAUUUGAAAUCAGUUGAACUAAUUAUAGUUCCGUAGGUUCGAAUCCUACUCUUUCCA